GAGUCUCGACCCCGAACCGGUACUUUUAUCGCUCCGUGCAUAAAAGUGAAAUGGGAAACAGGAAGGCUGGCGAUUCGCGCCGGCCCAGCCUGUGCUGCCCCCGCAACGGUCCCCACGGCGCUAUCCGUGGCAGCCCGAUACCAGCCGGUUCGAUAUGAGCCGG
Molecule: non-coding RNA, 163 nt
Filed under: Bordetella avium
Lineage: Bacteria; Pseudomonadati; Pseudomonadota; Betaproteobacteria; Burkholderiales; Alcaligenaceae
Also listed under: 1 other name
Source: RNAcentral